UUCAUGAAGCCAGAAUUGCUAGUAAUGGCAGGUCAGCAUACUGCCGUGAAUACGUUCCCGGGCCUUGUACACACCGCCCGUCACACCAUGAGAGUUGGGAAUACCCGAAGCCUGUGAGCUAACAUUAAGAGGCAGCAGUCGAAGGUAGAAUCAAUGAUUGGGGUGAAGUCGUAACAAGGUAGC
Molecule: ribosomal RNA, 183 nt
Filed under: uncultured bacterium
Lineage: Bacteria
Description: partial 16S ribosomal RNA
Rfam family: Bacterial small subunit ribosomal RNA
Source: RNAcentral